GAUGAACGCUAGCGAUAGGCUUAACACAUGCAAGUCGAGGGGUAACGUGUUGGAAGCUUGCUUCCGAUGACGACGACCGGCGGAUGGGUGCGUAACGCGUAUGCAACUUGCCUCACAGUGGAGAAUAACCCGGAGAAAUCCGGACUAAUACUCCAUACACUCUUAAGUACGCCUGUACAUGAGAGGAAAGAUUUAUCGCUGUGAGAUAGGCAUGCGUCCUAUUAGGUAGUUGGUGAGGUAACGGCUCACCAAGCCGACGAUAGGUAGGGGUGCUGAGAGGCAGAUCCCCCACGUGGGGACUGGGACACGGCCCAAACUCCUACGGGAGGCAGCAGUGAGGAAUAUUGGUCAAUGGAGGAAACUCUGAACCAGCCAAGUCGCGUGAAGGAAGAAUGUCCUGAGGAUUGUAAACUUCUUUAGCGAGCGAGUAAGGACUUCCACGUGAUGGGAGUUUGAAAGUAGCUCGAGAAUAAGUAUCGGCUAACUCCGUG
Molecule: ribosomal RNA, 491 nt
Filed under: uncultured bacterium
Lineage: Bacteria
Description: partial 16S ribosomal RNA
Rfam family: Bacterial small subunit ribosomal RNA
Source: RNAcentral